This is a long non-coding RNA of Mastomys coucha (southern multimammate mouse), 326 nucleotides long. RefSeq lists it as uncharacterized. Lineage: Eukaryota; Metazoa; Chordata; Mammalia; Rodentia; Muridae. The transcript is spliced from 3 exons. The record is from RefSeq and is a predicted model, not a curated record.
ACAGUCUCCCUGGGAAAGAGCUCCGCAGUUAGCCAUCUGUGACCAAGUGGGCAGCUCUGAGAUCACAUACAUGUGGUAACAUUACAAUGAUUAAAGAAGAAGAGGCUACUGGUUUAGGAGAGAGCAAGAAAGUGUUUGCUUUCUCUUGGGAAGUGCUUAGAAGUUCACAGAGGAAGGCUGUGAACCAGAGAGAUGUGUAAGAACCAGAGAGCCACAUCACUAAACUAAAGAAAGAUGUACAUAUGAUUAAAGAUGGUGAAGAUAUGAAUAUAAAACUAUGGAAGGAAAUGUUGGGAACCAUGAGAGCCCUGAGAUAAACAUCCUGC